AUCUCGUAGUGAGGGCAUUUUUGUAAUAAUUCUUUGAAUCUCUUCCACUCCUUUUACAGGGAUUCAUCAUCGAAUUGUUUGAAAAUAGUAAUAUCGUUCUGCAACU
Gossypium arboreum is the source of this 106-nucleotide non-coding RNA. The record is from Rfam. Lineage: Eukaryota; Viridiplantae; Streptophyta; Magnoliopsida; Malvales; Malvaceae.